GACGUAGGUGGCGAACGUUAUCCGGAAUUAUUGGGCGUAAAGGAUGCGUAGAUGGUGUAGUAAGUUAUCGGUGGCAAAUCGAGGCUCAACCUGGGAAUGGCAAUGGAUACUGGGUCGCUAGAGUGUGAUAGAGGAUGGUGGAAUUCCCGGUGUAGCGGUGAAAUGCGUAGAGAUCGGGAGGAACAUCAGUGGCGAAGGCGGCCAUCUGGAUCAACACUGACGCUGAGGCACGAAAGCGUGGGGAGCAAACAGG
RNAcentral lists this ribosomal RNA (253 nucleotides) under uncultured bacterium. Its description in RNAcentral is "partial 16S ribosomal RNA". It matches the Rfam family "Bacterial small subunit ribosomal RNA", at positions 524 to 776 of the family's 1533-position model. The record is from RNAcentral.